CUUGGCCAGAGAGGAGCAGACAGCUCUCACCCUGAAGCUCAUCCAGGAAUGCUGGCAAGGAGUUGCUUUUUAUUUCCUAUCUCGAGUUACCGCAACACGGUUAAGACUACAAAAGCCUGAAAUCCCUGGCAAGCUAACACUGUACAUCUGUCUAAGAUGACGGCCAGCAUGGACAACUGUGGGCUUCAGCCCAUGACCAGGAUGAAGCACUUUGCUCCUUGCUGAGCAGCUGUCAUUAACAGUGAUCUGUGAGGUUUCUUCCUGAUUUCGCCUCGUGAUUUGCAUGGCUGCUUUCCUCUCUUGCAGGAUCUUCACACUUGUCUCUUCGGCUGCGGAAGGAAUCCACCACCCUGAGCCACGUGUUUAUUGUUCUCAUCACUGCAGUGCAAGAAAGACAUGGAGGCCCUGGAGUGUGUCCAGAGAAGGGCAACAAAGCUGUGCAGGGUCUGGAACACAAGUCUGAUGGGGAACGGCUGAAGGAACCGGGACUGUUCAGUAUGGAGAAGAGAAGGCUCGCAGAAGACCUUAUUGCUCUCCACAACUCUCUGAAAGGAGGUUGUGGUAAUGUGGGGGCACACCUUUUGUAACCACCACAUAUAUCACAAAGGAGAGAAAAAAGCCAACACCGAAAGGAAAAAUUGAAGCAAAGUAGUAUGAGAGAGCUACACAGAACCUCCAGUGUUUCAAAGCUGCUGGUUGCUGCUAGUGUUGGCAUGAGAGGAAGCAUAAAGUGGAUCAAGUGCAAGGGCAAACAGUCCGAGGCAUUCUGCUAGCAGAGUCUCCUGUCAUCCUCCUGCUUUUCAACAUGAUGGCGAUCCAAGCUGCACAGAGUCUUGGAUGUAGCUCCAAGCACUGAAUCACUUUGACUCCCCUCCCUCCCCUGCAAUGAUCACACAUAGAAAACAGACAUGACUGAGAGAGACUUGGGCCAGUUUCUAAAAAGAAAGUCACUUUUCAACACAAUCUUCCAUGGAAAGGGAUUGUUUGGUUUUGUCGCUUAACAAACACCCCGAUGGCCUGAUGAGAAACACUUGUCAAGCUGAGUUUCCUUCCUCAGACUUGGGGUUAGGAAACUGUACUUGCUGGAAAAGGAUGUUUGUAGCCUUGAAAUGGGAUUAGUCCCUUGAUACCCUUCCUCCUUCAUAGUCCCCACUCACAUUCAAUACCAAAAGAGUGACAAACAUGUCCCUGAUGCACCUUGUCCCUGUUGUACCUUCACAAGGUAAUUUUAACGUGGUAUGAAACUUUCUAUAUUAGAAUAUUAAGGCUGCAAAGUGAAAUUCUCUGUGAUAUGAUAUUAACUCUGUUCUCUUAUUAGUGUAAAUGAGUAUCUGAAGUUGUGACAAGCUACUGCCUAAUUGGCAUUAUCUUCUGUGUACAUGGGUAAUGUACCCUGCUUGUUAUCGACCUGGCAACACAGCAAACGGUUAUUAAAUGGGUGGUUGGUUGAACACACUCUGUGUACAUCUGUGUUGGUACUUUAAACUGUGCCAGUGCAUGGGACCAGGUCACUUGUACAGUUCUGCCCUGGACAAAUCUGACUCUUUAAAUUUCACAGACACUGUCUGUUAGUACAGUCAGGCAGGAGAUCUGAAGUGAGAGCUUAGUGGUAUGGGUACAACAAAAGAAAGCUCAAAUUUACUAGUCUAGAUACAUUUCUGUGUAAAUAUAUAUCUGUGCUUUGCCCCUAGCCUUACUCAUACCUGGACCACAAUCUUCAUCCUUGACAGGACAAGAGGUAAUGGCCUUAAAUUAAGACAGGGGAGGUUCAGACUGGAUAUUAGGAAAAACUUCUCAGAAGGAGUGGUGAUGCAUGGGCACAGCCUGGCCAGGGAGGUGUGGGAGUCAUCAUCCCUGGAGGUGUUUGAGAAUGGAUAGAGGUGGCACUGAGUAAUGUGGUCUUGAGUAGUCAUAGGCAUGGGCUGAUGGUUGGACUAGGUGAUCUUAGUGGUCUUUCCAACCUUAAUGGUUCUUUGCUUCUAUGAUUCUCAACUCCGAUCAUGCUUUCCUUGACUUGGACUUUCUUACCAACCUGCAUCUGCUCUGCCUACUUCCAUCCCAAAGUGCAUCCUUGCCUUUACAUUCUGUAUUAAUCCUGCUUUUCUUUAGCUCCAUGGCUUUACCUCAUCCUGUCUCCAGGAUGUACAAUGUAGUUUAGAUCACCUCUUUGACUUGCAAACUCUCCCUAUAUUCUUCUGCCACAGUCGAUUCCUGUACUGACUCAAUUUGGCCUUAAUUUUCAUCACCAAUUUCAGUCUGGCCGAAUCAGUAGGCAGACCCAUGUUUCUUCAGCAGAGCUAUUUUCCUCAGGCUGUGAGUAACAGAAACACUUCAGUAUGUCCUUAAAUCUAUCCCCCUAGGCAUAAUUAAGCACGUUCUCCUGUUGCCCUGAGGAAGGAGGAUGCCUGCUGUGGAGGGAGGCAGGAUUGCCUAAUGAAUUGAUUUGGACUCCUGAGCAAUGUGGAAUAGUUCAGAGAGUCUCGGCAGGACUGAUGCUAAAUCACA
RNAcentral lists this long non-coding RNA (2505 nucleotides) under Gallus gallus (chicken). The record is from RNAcentral. Lineage: Eukaryota; Metazoa; Chordata; Aves; Galliformes; Phasianidae.